AUUGAACGCUGGCGGCAUGCCUUACACAUGCAAGUCGAACGGCAGCACGGGUGCUUGCCCCUGGUGGCGAGUGGCGAACGGGUGAGUAAUACAUCGGAACAUGUCCUGUAGCGGGGGAUAGCCCGGCGAAAGCCGGAUUAAUACCGCAUACGAUCUACGGAUGAAAGCGGGGGACCUUCGGGCCUCGCGCUAUAGGGUUGGCCGAUAGCUGAUUAGCUAGUUGGUGGGGUAAAGGCCUACCAAGGCGACGAUCAGUAGCUGGUCUGAGAGGACGACCAGCCACACUGGGACUGAGACACGGCCCAGACUCCUACGGGAGGCAGCAGUGGGGAAUUUUGGACAAUGGGCGAAAGCCUGAUCCAGCAAUGCCGCGUGUGUGAAGAAGGCCUUCGGGUUGUAAAGCACUUUUGUCCGGAAAGAAAUCCUUGGCUCUAAUACAGUCGGGGGAUGACGGUACCGGAAGAAUAAGCACCGGCUAACUACGUG
Molecule: ribosomal RNA, 486 nt
Filed under: uncultured bacterium
Lineage: Bacteria
Description: partial 16S ribosomal RNA
Rfam family: Bacterial small subunit ribosomal RNA
Source: RNAcentral